RNAcentral lists this small RNA (137 nucleotides) under Arabidopsis thaliana (thale cress). RNAcentral describes it as "ATSL001430". The record is from RNAcentral. Lineage: Eukaryota; Viridiplantae; Streptophyta; Magnoliopsida; Brassicales; Brassicaceae.
UUAAAUAAAAUAAAAAUAAGUGUUAAAAAGUUAAAUUAAGUAUAAACCAUAUUGAACCGAUGACGCCUCUUAGGGGUUUGGACGUUGUGUCCAAUUAGUUUACAUAAAAUUUAAAAAUUUAACACAUAUAAGAAAUU